Columba livia (rock pigeon) is the source of this 7985-nucleotide long non-coding RNA. RefSeq lists it as uncharacterized. NCBI's taxonomy places the organism in Eukaryota, Metazoa, Chordata, Aves, Columbiformes, Columbidae. The record is from RefSeq and is a predicted model, not a curated record. The transcript is spliced from 6 exons.
UAUGGACAUGGUUUAGUGCUAGAGUUAGGUUAAUGGUUAGACUUGAUCUUGAGGGUCUUUUCCAACCAAAAUGACUCUCUGGUUCUAUAUUCUCUGUUUUCCACAGGAACAGAUUUUGCUGUAUGGCAUGUUUUUAAACCAGGCCCCCCACUGAGGGGCCAGCUGUGGGUUCACCACAGCCCUGCUUCCGCCUCGCCUUCCCCUCGCACUGUGGGGUGUCAGGCCCAGGGCAAGGCUGGGUUGGGCUGUCCCUCACCCAUCUCCCCAGCUGCCUGCUGCACAGGACCUUGUUUCAGCACAGCCCGGGGCUCUCUGUCCCCAGCCAUGCUGUAGGGUGCUGGUCUCCAGCCCCUCUGAUUCUGACCCCAGGAGCAGAAGGGAUUGUAGCUCUGGGCCACCUUCAGCCGCCAUUAUGCUGCAGGGAGCCUACUUCCUCGCUUAGGCACCGUGGGGCAGGCCCUGCCCGGCCGCCAUGUCCUGGAUCCCGCUCCCCGCUCAGCCCUGACAGGACUUGCCUUGCUGCUGCACCUUCCUAUUUCUUCUUCUUAAAAUAACAUCUUAAGUUCUCCUCAAAGUUAAAACAAAAACUGUUGGAAAGGAACUUACAAACAAAACAUUACGUGCCUGUCCCGAGCACCCCAAGGCUGAUCUUCUCCAGGUACUGGCCUGUGGCACAUCACUUCGUAAUAGUAAUGCCUGAACAAGAGGAACUGAUCACAAGUGAUGAAUUCCCAGUGGACCUAAAAGACCAAAAGGCAUCGCCUGCUCAACGGUGUCCCCUGCUGCGCAGACCUGCACCGAGGGACUCAAGCUUCAUGGGGGCACCUUGGCUGGUCAGGAGCAUUCAGUCCCAUGGGAGAUUUCCGACAUGUGCACUUGGGCCUAUCUAUUUCCUAAAUCAGAUGUAGCAGCUUAGCCUGGAACAGAAGCAACCUGAUGAAUUUCAGCUUCAGUGAGACCUCUGAAGCCAGCUCAGUUUUGGACUUGUAAUAACAUCAGAAAUUUCCUUUGUCCUUCUCCUUGAAAAUUGAGCCCUAUGGAUCAGCUGGGAUGUGGCUCAUCUCUCAGACAGAAAGGAUUUUGUACAAAAGUGUACUAUAAGAAAAAAAAAAAAAAACACAACACAGUAGGUAAUUUUUAAGGUGUUUUACCUCCACUAGAACUACUUUUUCCCUAUAAUGCAAAAGAUGAAUGAUAAUAAUCAAACAAAUAAUGUUAUUGUAAAGUGGUAAUGGACGAGAGUUUUCUGCUGUGUAGAUUACCAUCUUAUCAGUUGUCAAAGUCCAUGUGCAUUUGUCUUAUAGAAUUAUGCCUGCAGGGGGUAGCUAACCAUCCCACUACUCAGUAAUUGCUCUUUGGCUUAUUUAUCAGAAUUAUUGUGUUAUUGCCAGCAUUUGAAGAGUUUUUGUAAGAGGAAUUCAGGUACAAGUCACCUUCAGUUAUCUGUGUAUUAAUUGGCAUUUCUUAAUACCACAGACUCUCUUCUUCAGGACAUAUAUUGAAUUAAAGCUGUUUUACUGACAUCAAAUAAUGACAAACUUGAACCAGUACACAACCCAAGGACCUGGCUCCCCAAGAUUCACUCUGAUUUUCAAUUCAAUUCAAGAUAGGCAUCUUAUUCACUGAGUAUUCAUUUAUACUUAGGAAGUGAAACAUGGGGUAAAGUUUUGAAUUAGAGUCAUUUUUCUAUAUGGUUGUUAUACAGUAUAAUCUUCCUAGGGAAAAUAACAAACGAACAAAACCACCAACAAGAAAACAACCACCCCCAAACAAACAAACAAAAACCCAAAACAAAACAAACCCCAAACCUAUGCUUUUCUCUCAAAUCUGCUUUGCCUCAGAGAACAUUUAUAAAGAGUGCUUAUUAAAAAAUAAAUUUAAAAAAGGGAGGGAAAGAGGAGAAAAAUAUCUCAAACAAAAUUAUAGAAAAAUAUGUGAAGUUUUAAAUGUCACCUUUCCCAAUGAAGUUAGCAGUAGAAACUCACAGAAUCACAGAAUGUUGGGGUUGGAAGGGACCUCUGGAGAUCAUCUAAUCCAACCUACCUGCUAAAACAGGUUCACUCAGAGCAGAUGGCACAGGAAUGUGUCCAUGCGGGUCUUGAAUGUCUCCAGAGGAGACUCCACAGCCUCUCUGGGCAGCCUGUUCCAGGGCUCUGGUACCCUCAAAGGAAAGAAGUUUCUCCUCAUAUUUAAAUGGAACCUCCUGUGCUUCAGUGUAUGCCCAUUGCUCCUCAUCCUGUCAUUGGGCACCACUGAAAGGAGUCUGGUCCAUCGUCUUGAUACCCACCCUUGAGAUUUUUAAAAACAUUUUAAAAACAUUUUAAAAACAUCCCCUCUCAGCCUUCUCCAGGUUGAACAGACCCAGCUCUCUCAGUCUCUCCUCAUAACAAAGCUGCUCCAGACCCCUAAUCAUCUUUGUAGGCCAUUGCUGGACUCCCUCCAGUAAUUCCUUGUCCUUCUUAAACUGGGGAGCCCAGAACUGUACACGGAACUCCAGAUGCAGCCUCAGCAGGGCAGAGUACAGUGGGAGGAGAAUAUCUCUCAACCUGCUGGUCACACUCUUCUUAAUGCACCCCAGGAUACCAUUGGCCUUUUUGACCACAAGGGCACUCAUGGUCAGCCUGUUGUUGACCAGAACUCCCAAGUCCUUCUCUGCAGCACUGCUUUCCAGCAGGUCUGCCCCUAACCUGUACGGAUGCCUGGGGUUAUUUCUCCCCAGGUGCAGGAUCCUACACUUGCCCUUGUUAAACUUCAUCAGGUUCUUCUCUGCCCAGUCCUCCAGCCUGUCCAGGUGUCGCUGAAUGGUAGCACAGCAUUCUGGUGUGUCAGCUCUUCCUCCCAGUUUGGUAUCAUCAGCAAACUUGUUGAGGAUGCACUCAGUCUCUUAAUCCAGGUAACUGAUGAACAGGUUGAACAAGGCUGGACCUAACACUGACCCCUGGGGAACCUCACUAACUACAGGCCUCCAACCAGACUCUGCACUGUUGAUCACAGCGCUUGGAAUUCACAGGAAAAAGAUAUGUUCUAGAAACAUGGCAGUCUCCCAGGAGGCAGCUGCACGGCUGAUGGAAGGACACGUCCGCUGGCUGCCCGAGCCUCAUGGAUCGCAGCCCCUCGCCUCAAUCAUUUCCCUGCUGCCCUCCCACCGCAGACCGCUGUUGGUAGCCCUGCAGGCUGAGAAAGCUCUGCCUCAGUACCUGGGAUAUGAAAAGAUGAUAAUUCAUUAUCAUAUAAUGAUCUUCCAGACUGGGAGCUCAUCUCAACAGUAUGUUGAAGCAAUCCAUUCAGGUAUAACAGAAUAAAUAGGCCAAACUGUAUCCAAAAUCCCUGAGCCAUACACUAUUUAUUGGCAAUUGAAAGAUAAGCUUCAAAGAAGAAGCUACUGUAUAUUUGCCUUCUGGUAUAAAACUAUUUUAUAUUUUAAAAGUCUUGCAAAGCCGCCUGUCAGUCUAAGGUCCAUGGGAAGAAUGGGCUUUGAGCUGAAAGCUUUGAAUAUUGUGACUAGCAUUAGCUUUCAGCUUAACACUUCAAAAUUUCUUACAAUAAACUUUGUAAAUAUAUAUUUAUAAAGUAUACUGUCAUUGUUAAAGGACUUGUUGAAAUUAGACUUAAGAAAAUGGGGCAAUGUAUAUCCGAGCAAUAACUAAACAAUCAUCUGCCUUAUUUACAAAUGUGUUUCAAAAGGCAUUUUUUGACCAUAUACCCCUUGCUGUUAUCACUUUGGGAAAACAGUAGUUAAAUGCAGGACCUGAAGCUGUAGUUACAGAAUAGCAAUCAAUCAGUGACAAAUAGGCAUGUCUUAAUAUAAUCCCAAUACUAAAAAAAAAACAACAAAAACAAAACCCCCCCCCCCAAAAAAAACAAAACCCACCAAAACCAACCAAACAAAACCAAAACAAAAACACAAAAAACAAACCAAACAAACAAGCCUCACCAAAACAAAACAAAACCCCACAACACAAAAAACCUAUUUGUGAUGUUUCCUGGAACAAUAGCAGGAAGAGAUUGUAUACCAGCACUAACGGUUGUGCUUACUCACAUGCAGCUUUAUGCAAGCCAGCCUUCAGCUUAGUUCAGAAAAAUGGUGUAUCUUCAGAACAGCACAUAAGACUAUCCUGGGUCGCUUUAGAGAACUGCUUCAGCUGAGCCUGCCACUGGAGAUGAGAAAGAAAACGAAUUUUAAAAGAGCUUUUGCAUAUCAAAUUGUUACAAAUAGACUGGAUAUCAUAAUUUUAAUUGUUUUCUUGAAAAAAAGAGAGCUUUCUCUCUCCUUAGUUAUUUUUUUAAAAUCUAAUUCCACAGGUCUUCUAAAAUGUCUUUAGACUCUAAGCAAUAAAUGACUGGGUAGCACAGAGAAGAACAGGUUGAUGAAAUACAAAAAUGUGCAGGAGUGAAUGUCAAAAUCCAUAGUCGCUACAGCUUAUAUUUUGGGAGACAUACUGCAGUUUGCCCAUAUUGUGUUUGAACGAACAGUCUUACAACAUAGCAUGAAUUUCAAGAAUAGUAGAAAGAUUUCUUCACACAAAUUCCCAACAAUUUUAGGCAACACUGCUAUCUGCUGGGACACUUGGUCAAACCACAUAGAAAUGGCAGAGAAUAAUACCUCCAUUGCAGCAAGCUUGGCAAGAAACCAGAGACAAUGGCCAGAUGGUAAAUAACUUAGUCCCACGAAACAACACCAUGAAGUUGUGAAAAAAAAAAACUGAGAAGCUCAAUGACCUUGCACUUGUAAUCGACCAACAGUUGAACACUCUGCUUGAAGGCAAUGAGAACAUGGAUCCUGAAGGAAGGAAGUUUCUCUGUGUUCUGUCAACACUCACAGCUGUUUGUGCCAGUACACGGGCAUAAUCAGUGAGAAAAGUUGCAAAACUUGCCUGAACUGAGACACCAAUAUUUUAGUGGUGUUUCUGGUGAAAUGAAACCAUUUUAACAGCAGUGCCAGAUAAUGUGCUGGUCUUUCUAGGAGGUAAUUUGUUGUGCAAGUCAGAACUUGCACACCUGUGGUGUGACUGUUAUUAAAAAAUUAUAGUUACCUGCAGAAGCAAAUCAGCUGUUACAAAAAGCUGAACACCUUUUCAACAUACCACCUAACAAGUUUUUUGCUAAGUGCUUUCGGAGUAAUUCCAUUCACUUUAUAGACACAAUCAUAAAAGCUGGGACUGUUAAAAGUAGGACCCUUUGAAGAGGAGGACAUUGAUGAAAAUGAAAGCUACAAAUGUUGGUAAGUAAAAGUAAGCUGGAAACGUUUGAAAGUGUGUAUAUGGGCUCAAAGAAACUGUAGCUAUGAUUGUCAGUAAAACCAGUAUGCUUUUGGUAUGGUAGAAGACAUGUCCGUCUAUGAUGUGAACAACCUGAUGGUGACCACUAGCCAUGAAGUAUUGUAAAGCACAGCCAUUCUCCCAGUCAGUGCUACUCCCUGCACAGAACAGGUUGGGAAAAUGGUCUUUCUUUUUAAAUACCAAGAGAAUAGCUGGAUAAUGGAUAGAAAUAACUGCAGGAUUACUGAAUGUUCAAAUAUGAGAUGUAUUUAAGAAAGUCAGAUUGCUGUGUCCACAUGUUGACAAACAAGACACAUCCUAUUUCAUACCUCAUCAAUAAACUAUGUGUAAUUCUCACCUGGGAGGUCAUAGGGAAUGAUAGAAGCAGUGAACUAUGUAAGUUCUCAGGAUCAUGCUUCAGGGCUACAGAAAUAACUAGUGUUGGCAGAGCAGUGAAUGGAUAAGCCCGACUCAAACUCUGCUUCUGUUAGCUUUAACAUACUCCACCACCCUUAUUUACUACUCUUUACUGGUACUAGAGAUAACCAGGCAUUUAGUCUUUAAGUUAAAAACUUAAUCUCAUUUCCAGAAAGGGAAUUCUUGUUCCCUUUCUUUUGGGAUUGAUAAGAAGAAUGGAUGGGGGCUGCAGAACUUCCAUAUACAUUUUCGUUUUACUCUAGUGAGUAAACACUAGUCCUAGAGAGUCUGUAUCAAAUCAGCUGUAAACUAGUUGAUAUAAAAGCAACAUUCUUUUGCCUAGAUGAUUAUACCUAUUAACACAAAAAUUCAUUUGAUGUAUAUGUGAAGAAUUCCAGUGGUUGUCUUUUUGAUGUCAAGUAUGAAACAGCAUACACUUCAUUAAAUGGCACAUCAAAAGGAUGAAAAUACAAUCAUUAAUCUGUGUUUUAUGACAUUCUCCUAACAGUGUGUGGUAGAAACCCCUAUUGCAUCAAAUAGCAAGAAGACCUUGAAAAAUUCCUUGAGUGGUAAAAGGACUCUUCAUACUUCUCAUUUUUUCUACUUUUUAGAUUUCCUAAGCCCUCCAUUUUAUACCUGAAGGUAGCCAUACUCAUCCUUUUCUCACUGACGUAAUUUUAAAAUCUGCACAACAGAGGCAAGGUUAGGGAUGUAAAUUUUAAACAUGUUCCCACUGUGUUUACAUCCUUUCUCUUGGUGAAAAAUUAGUGUGUUUGAUCUGUCUGACUCUCUGAGUAAACUGAAUUCUUGGUGCAGUGCACUUAUCCAGGCCUAUAUUAAAGCAGGCUUAUCCAGGCCUAAAUUUCUUCUCCGACUGACCUAGCUCCUCCUUCUGAUGUACUGAGGAAUGUUUCUGUGUCUGAUGACACUACCCCAAUGUCAAAUUUAUAUUGCUUUAGAUAUUGUUUCUAAUCAGCAAGGAAAUCCAUACCUGGCAAGGAGGGCAGAUCUCCAUCCUCACUAGCAAGUGAGAAAUGAGAUGUAACUUUGACUCAAGAUGUCCCUCUCUCAUUUUAACAAGUUGUGAACACUUUGCCUGGCAGAACGAUGCCUGUAGCACUCAGCUUCUGGAAAGGAAAAAGAGGUAUCUGAAGCUUUAGACUGUUGGAAAAGAAUCUGCCUGUACAGGGAUAAAUUCCACACUGGGCACACAGAUGGAGGCAGAACAGAGGGGAUGUGGAGGGAUCAGUGCAUCACUCUCCAGAAACCCCGGGUGCUGGUUAUAAAAACUCUAAAAUGUACUGUGAUUUUAAAAAUAAAACACUUGUUAAAAUGAUGGAUGAAAACCUAAAUAAUAUAAUUAUUUUGAUUUUUCAUAUUUGAGAUUGAUAAAACUUUUGACUGUGAUUGUGUCCUGAAAGCAGCUACACGGACAGUUUCUGACUUUCUUCAUUUCACACUGAGCCUGAUGAAUUUCUGCCUGACAAAGAAAUGUAAUUCCACUCACUGUUGUAGCUUGCUUGUUGUAUUUCCAAUCCCUGAAUAUGCUAUUGAAUGAGUUUUCUGACAAGAAUGUUCACUUAAACAGAAGAUGAAAGUAAAUAUUGGAGCAGGUUCACAGAAGAUUCCUUCUUCUCCAGCCUGCGAAUGAGAAUAUUAAUACUGGAAAUAUGCUUCCACAGUAUAAUAUUUAUCCCAUAACAAUAAUGUGACCUAUUUAUGCUAUUAAAACCAAUCAAUACAGUUGGAAAUAAACAUGUAGAUGUUCAUUAUACCAGAGAAGACACUCUACUGAAAAUAUUUUCUUUCUAACUAUUGAAUAAAGUAAAUACAAAAGCAGGAAAUAACAGUUUAAAAUAUGCACUGCCAUUAGGAAGGAGGAGAAUUUAAGUUUUCAGGCUGCAGGAUUUGUCAAAGCAAAUUUUAUCAUUUAAAAGUACUCCUGUAUUACCUGCUUACAGGGACAUACAUCAUUCAGGCAAGAAACAGAAGUGAUAUCAUAUGACUUAACAGGAUAAUUUGCUUUCCAUACUUCCAUUAUUAAAUCCUAAGAAUAAUCAUGCCAAUAUUUCUGAGCCACCUGUCGUAGGGAAAAAUUGACUAAGAAAAAUGUUAGUAAUUCUGAGUGAAGGAUGAAGUCAACAUUUCCCUAGUCUUUUCAUAAGCUUUUGAAGAAAAGGAACACAAUUUUACAUGCAGUGUAUCUUUUUGAUACCAGUCAUUUAUGUAUACUUACUACAAAUCCAGAUUCCUUUCCCUUUUAAGGUUUUACUGCACAGCAGAAAACAGUAUAAUCUUGCCUCCUGCAUU